This 1321-nucleotide long non-coding RNA is filed under the name Macaca mulatta (Rhesus monkey). Its description in RNAcentral is "lncRNA (ENSMMUG00000044289.2)". The record is from RNAcentral. Lineage: Eukaryota; Metazoa; Chordata; Mammalia; Primates; Cercopithecidae.
AUGGAUUGUUUAGGCAGAUUCUGGCACAGAACACGGCUGAUAUUAGAACCUCCCCUCCCCCAGGGUCAUGACCUUGGGAAGAAGAGAUGGAUAAGUAAACCCUUAGACCCAUCUCAAUCUUACCUCCUCCAUAAGUUCUUUCCUAUAAUAAUUGUACCUUAUUCUUCCUUGUUCUUCCAUCUUCUAUAUCACGUUAUCUGGACAGCGGUUAGGCCCCUCUCUUCCUUCAAGGCUGAAGACUUCCAUAGUCAGUUGAGACUCUGCUUCCCACAUUAUAAUGAAGGUACUUGCUCUCUAAAUGACUCUCUAGUCCUGAUUGUGCUAAAUAGGGUUUCUGUGGUUUCAGAUGAGGACCAUUUUUUGUUGUUAUUUAAAUGCUGAUGGCCUCCCAGACAUUGUAGAAUCAGUGGGGUGCUGAGGAGUGAGGGAGAGGAAGCUUCUUUGCCAGUCUACAAAGAAUUGGGGUAGGAAGCCAUGAAAAGAACCCCCGGAGUUUCUAAAACCUCUCAACUGGAGUGGAAGAGGAGGGGUGUCCUUUGUAAAUUAUCCAAACACAUUUCCAUAAAAGUUGAGCAUUUGUACUAAAAUGGGAUCUUGGCUUCAUUUUCCCUGCAAAUGGCCAGGGAGAAGGAAGCACUCUCUCAUUGGGUGCAGAGAAGGAAAAAUAUGGCACCCUGCCUAGAAUGGAGAUUUUAUGUUUUACAGAAAUGGCUUAGGGAGGACAUCCCGCAAGAAGCUGUUGAUCAGUGAAAUGUGUAUUUGCUCAAAACACGCUUUCCCAGCUGAGCCCCACCCCUUCGUUCCAAGUCUUCCUGGCGGGGUCCUGCACAUUUGGCUCCCCCGUCACCUUGUUUAGGACUGUUUCUGCCGAGGAUCACACUGUGCAGUUUCAAAGUCAUUCUGCUAAUGUGAGUGCUUCUCCUAUUUUAUGCAUCAGAAGGCAUUCAAAAUCUGUCCACAGUUGAGAGCAUCAGAAGAACAAAACAAAACAGGUGUUUAUAAAAGCUAACUUACUAUAUGCCCGACCAAUUCUAAAUACUUUACAAAUACUAACUCAUUUAAUACUCACAACAAACAGUUGUUGCACUUAUCAUCACCCAUUUAAAGAAGACUUAGGCAUAAACAUGUUAGUUUGCCCAGGGUCACAAAGCUCGCAAGUGAUGGAGCCUGUAUUUCAUUCCGAGCUGUCUCACAACACAGCUCACACUUUAAAGCACAAUACUGUAAUAAAAAUAAUACCUACUUCAUGGGGUUGUUCUGAAGAUCAAAUGAGAUCAUCAAGAAGGAUAAGCUGUAAUUAUCCAAUGGGGGAGAAGCAGAA